This is a long non-coding RNA of Cervus elaphus (red deer), 1164 nucleotides long. RefSeq lists it as uncharacterized. NCBI's taxonomy places the organism in Eukaryota, Metazoa, Chordata, Mammalia, Artiodactyla, Cervidae. The transcript has 4 exons. The record is from RefSeq and is a predicted model, not a curated record.
GUGUCCCUUGCCAUGUGCUCUUCCCCUUUCUGUCUCAUUCCUGCCUGGAUCCCAUAGGCAACAGUUCUGGGGUGGAACAGCUAUCUGGAAACCACGAGGAUGGCAUGAAGGAUGGCACAAAAGGACCACAGAAGAAGCCUGAUCACUGAUGACACCACAGGGCCUCUGCUCUAGUCCUGGACACCCUAUCUCUGACCUUCUUGUCACCUGAGAAAAAUAACCCCUACUUGGUUAUGCCACAAUUAAGAGUUGUGGAUUCGGCUACUGAAAAAAGGAGUGACAAGAAAAUGAGACUGAAAAGUGGGCAGAAGUCUGGCCGUGAAGCGUCGUGACUAUUAGGAAGACCCGGCAGCUGCUGUGAACACUGCAAAACUAAGACCCCCAUCCCAGUGGAGGGUGGUGACUACAUGCUGGCCAAAAGCACGUAGACUCCAGACACGUUGGAAAUGGAAGGUCGAUGAUUAAAAUUUCCAACCCAUCACUGCGCUGCCUCACCACCAGCCAAUCAGAAGAAAGUCAUGCAGUCUGCAACACCUGGGAGCCAGAGGAUGCUGUGAGCUGAAAGACACAGUACACUCAUGAACACGGAAGGAAAAAACCCAAAGCAACAGCUGAAUAACACCAGGGAUGGAGAACCGUGUCUCUGGGUGGUCCAGGCCUUCCCCUCAAGAUCCCGAUCUGAUUGCAGCAGUUCCAAGCUCACGUCUUCCUGUGCUAGUGUCAAGAGACAGAAGAGACAAGUACAGUCUUGUGUUUUGCUUUGAGAGGGAGGAACAACUUCCUGGGAGUCCAAAAGCCCGAUUUGCCUGUGGGCAGGGCUGUACUUCAAGCUCCUGCUUAAAAAGGCAAACACCGCCCCUCCAGGGAUGGUUCAAACCAACCGGCCUUCAGGACUGGGAGGAGCCCACAAAGUAAACAGGUCUCAGCUCACAGCUCACCUCCUCAGGUCAUCCUGCCCUGCUCCUCCUGUCCCAAGGAGAUCACACCUGUUGUCCUCUGCUGUCUUCACAUCACACUUGAAGAAACUGCUUGAGACACAGAGCUUACACAUUUCUUCGUGUAAUCCAUGCAUGCCUUUAAAUCAUUCAUUCACACAGAGGGGACUCCAGGGAGGCAAGGUGAGUGGGAAAAUGUUCAUGGCUCUGAGCUGACUGAUGGGCCUGA